AGCACAACUAAACAAUAACCAGAAAAAAUAAAUCUAAGACACUGUCACUCUGGAACUGUAACAACUAAAAUGUCAAAUUCCAUGGAGAAGCAACAAAGAACAAACAACGGCAAAUCGCCGGACUGGAAAAUUCAGUUGGAUGUGGGAGAAAAUGGGGUAGCUAUUAUCACUAUCAAUCGUCCACCUCUCAAUCUUCUUUCCGUUGAUGUGGUGUUGAGCUUGAAAGAGAAUAUUGAGGAAGCUAUGCGUAAAGAAAAUGUGAAGGCAAUUGUCAUAACUGGUUCACGAGGAAACUUUUCAGCAGGAUUUGAUGUAACAGCUUUUGGUGGAAAUCAACAAAAAAGGACACAGAGAGAACUGGGGUUUAUGUCAAUCGAAUUUAUCACUGACACAUUAGAAGCUGCAAGGAAGCCCAUUGUUGCUGCUGUUGAAGGUCUUGCUUUGGGAGGCGGAUUCGAAAUUGCACUAGCCUGUCAUGCUCGCAUAUCAACCUCUACCUCAAAAUUAGGUCUUCCCGAACUUCAGUAUGGGAUUCUUCCUGGGUUAGGAGGAACACAACGACUUCCUCGGCUGGUUGGCCUUCCAAAGGCUCUUAAAAUGAUUCUGAUGUCCAAGCGGGUAAGUGGAGAAGUAGCUUGCAAUAUGCGCCUUGUGGAUGCCAUAUCUCCACCAGAUCAGUUGCUUGGAUCAGCAUGUCAAUGGGCUUUGGAUAUAUUAGAAUGUAGAAGACCAUGGUCUAUCAAUCUUUUCAGAACUGACAGAUUAGCACCUCUGGCCGAAGCUAGGACAUUGCUAAAUUCUGCCAGAGCUCAGAUCCAGAAACAAAAUCCAAAUGUUAUCCACCCCUUGGUUUGUAUUGAUGUCAUUGAACAUGGCAUUCUUUGUGGUCCUCGUAAUGGACUAUGGAAGGAAGCAGAAGCUUUACAUGAACUUCGACAAUCUGAUAGUUGCAGGGGCUUAGUGCAUGUAUUCUUUGCGAAACAAAGCACUUCAAAGAUUCCUGGGAUUACUGAUAUGGGAUUGCGACCGAGGAAGAUUAACAAGGUCGCCAUACUUGGUGGGAGCUUGAUGAGUUCUGGAAUAGCAAUAGUGCUGUUACUUGCAAACCAUUAUGUAAUCAUGAAAUAUAUAGAUCAGAAUUCUCUGCAGAAUGGCAUUGACAGAGUUAAAGCCAAUUUGGAAGGGCAUUUUAAGCAAGGAAGGAUGACUCAAGAGCAUUAUAGAAAAACGUGCACUCUUUUAAAGGGUGUUUUGAGCUAUGAUGGCUUCAAAGACGUGGACCUAGUCAUAGAGGAUGUGCCUGACGUCGUCUCCUUGAAGCAGCAAACUUUUGCUGAUCUGGACGAGUGCUGCCCCCCUCACUGCAUUUUUGCUUCAAAUACUUGUACAGUCAACUUAGAUUUGAUUGGAGAAAGGAUGAAACCAUGUAGGGAGAUUGUUGGGAUCCACCUUUUUAGCCGACCCUCUGUCACUGAUCUCCUGGAAAUUGUCCGCACAGAGAGGACAUCCCCUCAAGUCAUUGUCGAUCUGUUAAACUUUGGAAGGAGGAUUCAAAGGACUCCUAUUGUAGUUCGGAAUUUUACAGGUUUUGCAGUCAGACGUAUGUGCUUCCCCUACUUGCAGGCAGCGAUGCUUCUCGUGGAACAUGGUGCUGAUGUGUAUCAGAUUGAUAAGGCUCUUGCUAGCUUUGGGAUGAAACUGGGUCCAUUUAGAAUGGUUGAUCAAGAUGGGUUUCAGUCUGCAACUGUGCAGGAUGCGAAAUUCCUUGAGACUUUUCCAGACAGAUCUUGCAAAUCAAAUUUGAUUCCAAUCAUGAGGAAAAAUAACCGUGAAGGUGAAUCCAAUUGCCAAGGCUUCUACACAUACAAUGACAAGGGUGAGGCAAGCCCAGAUCCCAAAAUAUCAAAAUAUAUAGAAAUGGCGAGAAGUAUGUCUGGUAUCACCAUUAAAUCAAAGUUGGCAACUUUGUCUGACGGAGAAAUUGUUGAGAUGAUUCUUUUCCCUGUCCUGAAUGAAGCAUGUCGGAUGAUAUCUGAGGCAAUUAUAGUGAAAUCCUCUGAUCUUGAUGUUGCUUCUGUUAUGGGUAUGGGGUUCCCCGCAUACAGGGGAGGCAUAAUUUUCUGGUCUCACUCUGUUGGCUCCAAAUAUAUUUGCUCGAAACUGGAAGAUUGGUCGAAGGAGUAUGGAGAGUUUUUCAAGCCUUGUGCAUACUUAGUCGAACGAGCUUCCAAGAAAUCUUCUUUGGGUAUGCCAAUUAAGCAGGCCAAGUCACCUUUGUAAGAUUGUGAUGAUGACAACAAAACAUCAUUCUGAUACGCGGUUCAUAUGUCAGAUAUUUGUGCAAUGUCAGUGUAAAGUUUCGUGCUAGCUGGGAUGUAUCCUCACAAUUCCAGUUGCUCGAUCUGUAUGUAUCAUUCACUUAACGGGGUCAUAGUGACCGAGAGUGCAGUUAUGUUUGUAUAAUGUCUCAUGGAUAGAGCUUGCACUGGAUGGAUGUAGAUGAAAAGUAAGAUGGUGCUGAUCACUGCAUUAAGUAUUCAUGUAAUUCAGGUGAAGUUUGUGUUCUAAAACUGUCAAUCUACAAUGUUAUUUUUUAGGUUUUCUUCAUGUCUAAGUCAAGCAGUAUCUACUUUAGAUGUUUACAACCGUCUUUGUGUGCAGUGGCGGAGCCACUCUUGUCCAAGGGGUGUCAAUUACAAUGUGAUAGGCACUGCAGGACUCUACUCUGCUGGAAGUGAACUCCUGCCCAAGUAUGGAUCUUUCCUUUUAAUUCUGAGAACCAACCACAUCUAGCAAACAAAUGCAGCUGACUCUCUGUUUCAUCCUCAUCACACAAGCAACAUCAAAUGAGAAGCCCUCAGCCUAUGAAGAGCUCCAGCACUAUGACUUCCCAAUUGGCAUUCUUCCUAAAGGGGUGAUAGGCUAUGAGUUGAACCCAAAAACCGGCGAAUUCUCGGCGUAUCUCAAUGGCUCAUGUAAUUUCAUGUUGAGUUCAUAUGAGCUAUAUUACAAGCCUGUGAUAAGAGGAGUUAUAUCCAAAGGCAGGCUCAGGAAAUUGAGUGGUGUUAGUGUUAAGGUUGUAUUGCUAUGGCUUAACAUUGUGGAGGUUAGGAGGAGAGGUGACAAUCUCCAAUUCUCAGUUGGGAUUACUUCUGCAAAUUUUCCUAUUAGGAGCUUUGUGGAAUGCCCUCGUUGUGAAUGUGGGCAAAAGCUCCUCGUGUCUUCCUCGUAGAGUCUAUCAGUGGCGUGUGCAAAAUUUUAUGUAAAUAGUAUCGGUCUAUUAUUACAACUCGUCUUGUUAAGGGGAUUAGUUCUGGGGUUAUCGGGUUCUAGAACUAUACUUUCUAUUCAAAUUUGAUGUUUACUUAUUUUCUUUUAACCGAUGCCACCAUAUCAAAAAUGUGGAUGUUGUAAUUUUUGCCACCAUAUUGUAUAUGUGCCUAUUGUUUUCUGAAACAAA
This is an RNA transcript of Lycium barbarum (goji berry), 3460 nucleotides long. It is a transcript of the gene named glyoxysomal fatty acid beta-oxidation multifunctional protein MFP-a-like, with no coding region annotated. NCBI's taxonomy places the organism in Eukaryota, Viridiplantae, Streptophyta, Magnoliopsida, Solanales, Solanaceae. The record is from RefSeq and is a predicted model, not a curated record. The transcript has 20 exons.